UACGUAGGGUGCAAGCGUUGUCCGGAAUUAUUGGGCGUAAAGAGCUCGUAGGCGGUCUGUCGCGUCGGCUGUGAAAACCCGGAGCUCAACUCCGGGCCUGCAGUCGAUACGGGCAAACUGGAGUACUGCAGGGGAGACUGGAAUUCCUGGUGUAGCGGUGAAAUGCGCAGAUAUCAGGAGGAACACCGGUGGCGAAGGCGGGUCUCUGGGGCAGUAACUGACGCUGAGGAGCGAAAGCGUGGGGAGCGAACAGG
RNAcentral lists this ribosomal RNA (254 nucleotides) under uncultured bacterium. RNAcentral's name for it is "partial 16S ribosomal RNA". It matches the Rfam family "Bacterial small subunit ribosomal RNA", at positions 524 to 776 of the family's 1533-position model. The record is from RNAcentral.